GCCUCAGUAGCUCAGCGGUAGAGCGGCCGCCUUGUAAGCGGCAGGUCGGGGGUUCGAAUCCCUCCUGGGGCU
Molecule: transfer RNA, 72 nt
Filed under: Microcaldota archaeon
Lineage: Archaea; Nanobdellati; Microcaldota
Description: tRNA-Thr
Rfam family: tRNA
About the family: Transfer RNA (tRNA) molecules are approximately 80 nucleotides in length. Their secondary structure includes four short double-helical elements and three loops (D, anti-codon, and T loops).
Source: RNAcentral